RNA transcript from Zea mays, 710 nucleotides. It is a transcript of the gene named dof zinc finger protein pseudogene, with no coding region annotated. Lineage: Eukaryota; Viridiplantae; Streptophyta; Magnoliopsida; Poales; Poaceae. The transcript has a single exon. The record is from RefSeq and is marked validated.
CCAAAUUUAUUAAUUUUGCUUUGAGCAAAUAAGACGAACGUUUUGUUUUACAAUCCUAGCACAGGCGUUAUAGGUUCUGUUUGCAACCCAAGCAUUAUUUCACCUUCAGGAUUUAUUCGUUUGGAUCCCUCCCGUAGUAUUUUGCAUGGGAUUUGAUCCCCACGAUACCUCUAAAUUCCGUCGUAAACAGGCCGUCAGAGUUCAGACACAUGGUCCAUAUGCAUUGUUUGUUGAUGGUAGCAUGCAAAGAGCAAGAAUCAGGAAUUUGCUCCAUCAGUCCUCUGCCUGCUUCGUCUGCAAGAGAAAGCUACGUAACCUUUGUGGCUGUGGGCCUGUGCCACCCCCCGCUGCUGCUUCCUGCUGUCGUCCUCGUUCGUCCCUACCUAGCUGCUUACCUCUCUCCUGCAUGCUGCGUUGCUGCCAUCACCUCCGUGCCAUCCGCGGCGCGACCCGGUCCGAGCAGUCCCUCUCUCUCUCUCUGCUCUGCUCCGCUCGACAAGCACUGUGACUCUGUGAGCGACACUACUGCACACCGCCACCGUGGCCGGCCGGCGUCCGCUGCGCUAUAUGUAUACAAGCAGCUAGCACCAAGCAGCACGGCUCUCCAACUCACAGUGCCACACCGGCAGGCAAGGCAUCGUCGACCGACGGCGCGCCGCAGCAGCAGCUUCUAGCUCCAAACCGAACCAACACGUGCUAUCCACCAUGGA